This is a long non-coding RNA of Numida meleagris (helmeted guineafowl), 680 nucleotides long. RefSeq lists it as uncharacterized. The record is from RefSeq and is a predicted model, not a curated record. NCBI's taxonomy places the organism in Eukaryota, Metazoa, Chordata, Aves, Galliformes, Numididae. The transcript is spliced from 3 exons.
GUGUUCUGUUUGCUGCCUGGGAUACCUUUUCUGCAGCUUCUGGAACUUGGUAGUUUUGCAUCUAUCUGUGAAGAAUGGGUCCCUUGCCUUGCUCUGCAUUUUCAAAAGUGGCUCCUAUUCAGAUUUAUUUGCAGGUAGCAUUGGUGCACAGAAGACCUAGCCCUUGACUGCAGAGAUCCAAACAAUAAGAGCAUGUAACAGCGCCGUAUGCUUCGUGUAUGUGUGCACGUGUUCCUAAUGCCUCUUCCAGGCUAAGUGCCAGCUGUUAAGGCAGAAGAACACACCACAAGAUUGAAUUCAGCUCACUCAGCCCUCUCCUUCCACUCGGUUUGCCUUCUCCGGUUGCCUGUUGUGCAGUGAAAUUGGAGCCGUGCUGGAGGAUCGCAGCUUGACCGCAGCCAGAUGGUACAAGCCUCGUGCAUAGGGUGCUGCGAGAGAGACGGUGACCUGCGUUUCGCAAACGAGGUGACCAGAAAUACUCAUUUUUUGGCCUCAAGAAGUACUGAAGCCUUUGUCAGGAAAGAAAGAUUAAAACAGAAACCACAGAAUGCAGACCAAAAAUUGGAGGAAGUGGUGAGCGUUUUAAUGACAAAUCCAUUAAAUUUUCCAGUUACUUUUACUCCCAACCUGGCAGGAAUUAUUCUUUUUUCCCCGGUUACUUUGGUUUGCCAACAGCUACA